Molecule: ribosomal RNA, 458 nt
Filed under: uncultured bacterium
Lineage: Bacteria
Description: partial 16S ribosomal RNA
Rfam family: Bacterial small subunit ribosomal RNA
Source: RNAcentral
CCUACGGGAGGCAGCAGUGAGGAAUAUUGGUCAAUGGGCGAGAGCCUGAACCAGCCAAGUCGCGUGAGGGAGUACUGCCCUAUGGGUUGUAAACCUCUUUUGUCGGGGAGCAAAAGCCGGACGUGUCCGGCUGUGAGAGUACCCGAAGAAAAAGCAUCGGCUAACUCCGUGCCAGCAGCCGCGGUAAUACGGAGGAUGCGAGCGUUAUCCGGUUUUAUUGGGUUAAAAGGGUGCGCAGGCGGAUUUUUAAGUCAGCGGUAAAAUCGUGGGGCUCAACCCCAUCCAGCCGUUGAAACUGGGGAUCUAGAGUGUGCGAGAGGUAUGCGGAAUGCGUGGUGUAGCGGUGAAAUGCAUAGAUAUCACGCAGAACCCCGAUUGCGAAGGCGGCAUACCGGUGCACAACUGACGCUCAGGCACGAAAGCGUGGGUAUCGAACAGGAUUAGAUACCCUUGUAGUC